RNAcentral lists this ribosomal RNA (374 nucleotides) under uncultured organism. Its description in RNAcentral is "partial 16S ribosomal RNA". It matches the Rfam family "Bacterial small subunit ribosomal RNA", at positions 527 to 896 of the family's 1533-position model. The record is from RNAcentral.
GUAGGUGGCGAGCGUUGUCCGGAAUUAUUGGGCGUAAAGCGCGCGCAGGCGGUUUUUUAAGUCUGAUGUGAAAGCCCACGGCUCAACCGUGGAGGGUCAUUGGAAACUGGAGAACUUGAGUACAGAAGAGGAAAGCGGAAUUCCACGUGUAGCGGUGAAAUGCGUAGAGAUGUGGAGGAACACCAGUGGCGAAGGCGGCUUUCUGGUCUGUAACUGACGCUGAGGCGCGAAAGCGUGGGGAGCAAACAGGGAUUAGAUACCCUGGUAGUCCACGCCGUAAACGAUGAGUGCUAAGUGUUAGGGGGGUUUCCGCCCCCUUAGUGCUGCAGCUAACGCAUUAAGCACUCCGCCUGGGGAGUACGGCCGCAAGGCUG